CACCGGCUAAGGUCCCAAAGUGCGUGUUAAGUGGAAAAGGAUGUGGGAAUUCGAAGACAACUAGGAUGUUGGCUCAGAAGCAGCCAUACAUUCAAAGAGUGCGUAACAGCUCACUAGUCGAGAGUUCCUGCGCCGAAAAUGUCCGGGGCUGAAACACGACACCGAAGCCGUGGACUCGCAAUGCGAGUGGUAGAGGAGCAUUCUUAAAACCGACGAAGCUGUACCGGAAGGAGCAGUGGAGGGAUAAGAAGAGAGAAUGCCGGAAUGAGUAGCGAGAGAAAGGUGGGAAUCCUUUCGGCCGAAUAUCUAAGGUUUCCAGAGUAAAGCUGAUCUGCUCUGGGUAAGUCGGGGCCUAAGCACAGGUCGCAAGACGUAAGCGAUGGAUAACAGGUUUAGAUUCCUGUACCACGCAUUAUCAGAACUGUAGGGACGCAUGUGGAAAGCACG
Molecule: ribosomal RNA, 447 nt
Filed under: Agathobacter rectalis
Lineage: Bacteria; Bacillati; Bacillota; Clostridia; Lachnospirales; Lachnospiraceae
Description: partial 23S ribosomal RNA
Rfam family: Bacterial large subunit ribosomal RNA
Source: RNAcentral